GAGAACUUGGAAGCCAAAAGAGGCCGUUCAGUCACUUCAGAAAAGAUCUAGCAGAAUUUAGGAAUCAGAUAACAGAACACAAGUGUACCUGUCUACCCUUGUUGUGCCAUAUGAAGCAGCUAAUAGUAGCAAGUUAGAUCUGUAUUGAAAAAUCUGCAACAAUAAAGAUCAAGAAUGACUCUCACAAUUCUUCAGAGACUAACACACAGCCCUGCUCUGAAAAUGGAGCCUCUGCCUCACAGUCAGCCUUUCCUGUCUGGGAAAAAUCACUCUGCCGAUGAUUAGGUGCCCUGUGUCUGUGAGACUCUGAAAUCCAAGACACCUGUGAGGGAAGGAGAUUGAAGAAGGAAACAGGCCAGGAGGGUGAUGGGCCUCCUGAUAGGAAGUUCAGUCGUGCAGAAAGGCUUGGGAUCCAGUGACUCAUCC
Molecule: long non-coding RNA, 426 nt
Organism: Cercocebus atys (sooty mangabey)
Lineage: Eukaryota; Metazoa; Chordata; Mammalia; Primates; Cercopithecidae
Source: Ensembl